GUACAACUUCGAGUGAGUCCUUUAACUUUUUACAUCACUUCAAUUUACCGUACAAAUUUAAGUGAGUCCUUUAACUUCUUUUCAUCACUUCAAUUUCAACAGCUUCCACUGGAUCUUGCUCUCUAUCGAGAUCGAUCGGUCCCGAGUUGUGGUGUUUGACUCCUUGCGGAAACCAAAAGAAAAGUAUCAAUCUCUCCUAGACAUCCUUCAAAGCGCAUGGGCUCGGUUUAUUCGUAAACACAUAGGAGUUGCGGCAACGCCUUCUGAUCUUUAUAUCAAAACUGACUUUUCGGUACGAAUACAUAUAGUGCAUCUACUGUGAUUUCAUUAAACGUCGUGAAUAUUUCAUAACCCACAUGUCUAUAUAGUGUUUGAGACAGGAGCAAGAAACCAACCUAUGUGGUUACUAUAUAUGUGAGCACAUACAGUGUUUUUGCUCCUCCACCAAGAGGAUGACACAACAACAAUUCGAUAUUUGGCGUUUGAAGGAGGACCUCAUCGAACCGGAAAGAAUCAGAGCAAUUCAAAAUCACUCUGUGGAUUCCUGGUGGAUGAGGUCAUAAAUCGAAAAAGGAGAAUUUUAUUCGGAUCAAAGGAUAAGCGUGGGUCUACUUGAUAGAAACAAGCGCGGGGGCGACAACAACGAAGACGACGACGACUAGUAUCAUUCUCCUUUUUGGAUACUUGUCGAAAAAAACUAAUGACCAUGGAUACUUGUAAAUAUUUUUGUAAUCCAAAUUGCACUACUAUUAUAAGUAAUUGUAAUUAAUAAAGUGUAUAUCAAUAUAAUAUGUAUAUAUAAUUGCUUUUGCUUUGCGCGAACAAAUAUAUAUGAAUGCUAGAUACGAAUACAAAUACGCGAAUGGCUACGAAUACGAAUACUAAUUAACUAAAACUAAAAUGAUAAGAGGAGAAACAUAAUUAAAAGGAAAAAAACA
Panicum virgatum (switchgrass) is the source of this 938-nucleotide long non-coding RNA. RefSeq lists it as uncharacterized. NCBI's taxonomy places the organism in Eukaryota, Viridiplantae, Streptophyta, Magnoliopsida, Poales, Poaceae. The transcript has 2 exons. The record is from RefSeq and is a predicted model, not a curated record.